CGUCGCUGCCGCACCGCCGCCGGUCGCCGGAAUCCGGAUUUCAACCAAAAUUUCCAGAUUUUCUCCUCUUCCUUCCCUCUUUCCAUUUCUCCAACCAAAAUCAUGAAAUUUAGCCAUUUAAUCCCCCAAAAACCCUAGAACCCGAAGCUAAAAUUGGGGCUUUUGUGAUUUCUUCUUUCCAAGCUCAAAUCAAGGCUAUGGGUUUGACAAGGAUUUGUGGUAAGGAUCUAUCCAUGCAACCUUGUUUCGCAAUUUUUGGUUGUGGUAUUGAUGAUGGACGGAUUUGUAGGUGAAGAAGGCCAUGGAGGAAGCUUAGGCCGUGAGUUUUGAAGAAGAAAGGGAAACACGAUCGUUAAGGAAGCUUAAGCGGAAAGCGUCAGAGCGUGGAAUACGCCGGCAUAUCCAGGUAGGGUGAGCUGUCCCUUCCUUGUUAGAGGCUUUUCAAUAUAUGUGGAAUGUUAUACUAUGAUAAUAUGUUGCCUGCAAGAACGUUUUUGGUUGUUCAUCAGUCGAUGCCUCGUGAUACAUGUGUUUUCAGAACUAAUAAUUGCUAAUUGUGAAAACCGAGGCUAGACUUGCAUGUUGAGAUACUGUACCCUUGUAUGUGUGUACUUGUGACCUGAAAGUGAAUGGGACCUAGACGCGUUGAUUCCUAGGGAUCCCACGGUGUCGAUAACCGUGAACCUCCGGAGGGGGCUGUGCUCCUAUGUUUGUCGGGGAAAGGUAAGUACAGACAGUGAACCAGUCAUAGGAGACUCAGAGCCAGGAAAUGGACACUUUCGCUACUUGUAGUCACAAGGACUACAGAGUAGUUGGUUGGUUCUCUUACUCAGGACGAACCAGAUCGGUCACUGAUUUAUUUACUUUAGCCGGCAGGUAAGUAUCUCGGAGCUCCAAAUUGUGUGAAGCAUACUGCAUAUGCUUUUUGAAAGAAAACAAAUGUUUGUGGUUGCCUCUUUACUUAAAGUAUUUUUCGAUAAACGUGCACAAUAUUAUGUAGUAAAUAUUUUCAAGUAUAUUAUUUUUCAAACCUAGCAUGGUUGGGUCGGCCCCUAUUGGGCAUGCGAGGACGAAAGCUCACCCCUACUAUAGUGUGCAGGUUUCGAGCAUGUGGUCGGGAAGCGUACAGGGGAGGCACAUGGCACGGCUUGGCGCAUUUCUCUUUAGUUUUAUCAAAAGAAGGUUUUGGUCCUUAAUCGGAUUUUGUAGUAGCUUGUUUAUUUACUUUUUAUUUAUUUCCUACUCGUUUACAAAAAUUCUGGGAGACCCGUAACCCUGGGGCGCGUCUCCCUUACUUGUCGUUACUUAGAGAUCAGUUUUAUUUUCCAAAUUGGGCUCCGAUCGCAAGCCCAAAACUCUUAGCCCAUUUCGAAUUCCGCUUUUGAAAA
This is a long non-coding RNA of Rosa rugosa (rugosa rose), 1388 nucleotides long. RefSeq lists it as uncharacterized. NCBI's taxonomy places the organism in Eukaryota, Viridiplantae, Streptophyta, Magnoliopsida, Rosales, Rosaceae. The record is from RefSeq and is a predicted model, not a curated record. The transcript is spliced from 3 exons.